Molecule: ribosomal RNA, 377 nt
Filed under: uncultured eukaryote
Lineage: Eukaryota
Description: partial 18S ribosomal RNA
Rfam family: Eukaryotic small subunit ribosomal RNA
Source: RNAcentral
CAAUAGCGUAUAUUAAAGUUGUUGCAGUUAAAAAGCUCGUAGUUGGAUUUCGGGGCAGCCUGGCUGGUCCGCCGCAAGGCGAGUACUGGUCAGCCGCCCUUCCUCUCGAAAGCCCCGACUGCUCUUUAUUGCAGUGGUCGGGUAGUUCGGGACGUUUACUUUGAAAAAAUUAGAGUGUUCAAGGCAGGCCUACGCCUGAAUACAUUAGCAUGGAAUAAUGGAAGAGGACCUCGGUCCUAUUUUGUUGGUUUCCUGGACCGAAGUAAUGAUUAAGAGGGACAGUUGGGGGCAUUCGUAUUUAAUUGUCAGAGGUGAAAUUCUCGGAUUUAUGAAAGACGAACAACUGCGAAAGCAUUUGCCAAGGAUGUUUUCAUUAA